RNAcentral lists this long non-coding RNA (324 nucleotides) under Ananas comosus (pineapple). RNAcentral describes it as "long non-coding RNA (ACOM_LNC042312)". Lineage: Eukaryota; Viridiplantae; Streptophyta; Magnoliopsida; Poales; Bromeliaceae. The record is from RNAcentral.
CGUGCAAAAUUGCUUCUAUCUAAACUUCAUAACAAUGUUGGGCGUCACAGAACCAGAAAACGUUCGCGGCAACUAGCCAAAACAUCAUAACCUAUAUUAACGGACCAACCCCUUAUUCACGGAACACUAAUGAGAUAGAGUGGCCGAUUCGCUGAGCGAUUGUCUUCUUAUUAGGCCUUUUUAACAUACGAAUCGGCCCAAAAUAUUAAAAAUUUCCAUAUCAGGGCCUAACCCACUAAUCACGGGUAUUCAUUUAGGAUUCUUUGGGCUGAGAUAUUUGUUCUUGCAAAUGACUUUUUAUUUCUAAAGGCUCAAAGGCUACGC